AGUCAAUUGCGUAAGAAUCUUCAUGCUACUGGAUAUUGGUUAAACCCUUCUUUUCAAUUUAAUAAUCCUGAUAUGGAAAAUCAUAAACAAAGUAUUUCAGGACUUUUAGAUAUAAUUGAGAGAUAUGCUUAAAGUCAACCCGAUUUAAGAAGUAAAUUGACGGGUGAAAUGAUACUAUUUAGGCGAGCACAAGGUGAUUUUGGACGUUUAUCUGCUGUAGCUGAUCGCCAUAAAAUGGCUCCUGGUAUAAUUUUAUCCUCAUAUUAUGUACUUAGUUAUAUUAUAUAACUCAAAAUUUUAGUUUAUAUAACGUACAUCUAUUUUAUUUUUAUUUUUUUAAUAUAGAUGAAUGGUGGAUGUGUUAUGGUAGUAGUGCACCAAACCUACAAAUGCUUGGAAUUCGAGUUUUAAGUCAAACAUGUAGUUCUUCAGGAUGCGAGAGAAAUUGGAGUAUGUUUGAACACAUUCAUUCAAAAAAGAGAAAUAGACUCGAGCAUCAACGGCUUAAUGAUCUUGUUUAUGUUCACUACAAUUUACGAUUGCAACAACAAUAAUAUUGUGUCAAUAAUUGUUUUCAUCAUAUUGUGAUUUAUUUGAUUUUAAGAUUUUGCAUUCUUCUGCUAGAAUAAUAAUUGACUAUUUAUAAAAUGGAUUAUAUACUUUGUUCAGGAAUUAUUUCAAGAGUCGAAAUUAUGAUCCUAUCGACUUUGAAAGGUUUAGCAUUUAUGGCAAUUGGGUGUUAGAGGAAGAGCCACCAACUUUUGUAGAUGAUGAGUUGGAGGUAUUUCGUCGUGAAUUGAGUGCAUGUACUAUACAAAGUGACAAAAAUGAUGGUAAUUGUUCGAUUAAUGCUAAUGUUUCUUCUUCAUAUUAAAGUAUAUAUGAUGUAACAAUGAAUUUUAAUACUUUUUUUCCAAAUGAAUUACAUUUUGAUGAUCUUGAUCUUGAUUGUUGUGAAAGUUUUGGCAACGGCAAUGAAAAUACAAGUGAUACAAACAAUGGAAACGAGGAUUUUAGCAUGAUCGAGACUCCGUCAUUUAUACAAGACGAAGGAAUUGAAGAAUUUAUGUUCGAGACCCUAGCAUGGAUGCGCUCCAACUCUUCUUAAUUAAGAAAAUAUUGAUUUAUCUCAAAUAAUUUAAUCCGUUGACAUGUUCUUUAUCCACAAAUGACUUUUAAGUGAUGGUUUUAAUUUUGUUAGAUAAAGUUGCUUUUUUUUUUAAUUUUUAUCAUUGAAUGUUAUUUUAAUCAUUUCAAAUGCAUAUUUGAUUAGACAUGAUUUAGAGUUUGUAUUAUUUGGGAUACUUAUUGAUCUUCAGUUAACAAAAUGAUAUGAGGUUAAUUUAGUUAUCACUACUAUAUAAAAAGGGUAAUGUUAGUCACUGUAGAAAGAACAAUAGAUUCUUCCAUUUUCACACACUUUAGCAAUUUUUCAUCUCUUGAGCAAAAACGAUGCCGUCUGCAAAAAAAAAAAAAAAAGUGCAGGCUACUGUGAUGCACCCACUUGCUCUCAAUUUAGGUGGAUAUUUCUUUUUUCUUCUCCAUUUUUACAUGCUACUACCUGUUCUCUCCAUUUUACCACACAAAUUAGACCAAUUCCUUCUUCUCUCUGAGUUUCAUUGGGUCCUUUCUUUUCUCCAUGUAUGUAUAAUAUUUUUGUUUCCAUUCUAUUUUUUUGACGUAUGGACUAAUCUGUUUUAUACUUAUUUUUCAGUUGUUUGCUUGGUAUCCAAUGCUAGGAUUUUGGUGUUUUCGGGCUACUUUUUUCUAACAAGUUAGUUCCUUCUUUUUCCUCACUUAUAGUUUGUAUUAUUAUUACAAGUUGAUUUCUGUGGAGCUUCCAAUCUGUUGUAGAUUUUUGUGUUUAUGUUCUUCGAUUGCUCGAUUUUAUAUUUUGGGUUUGAAUGUUCUUUUCUUUCGUGAUCCUAAAGCAUCCUAAAGUUCGAAAAUUCUUUUGCGAUUUCUGUAAAACUCUUUUCCGUCUGUUGUGCCUGAGCGAAGUUUGGGCUCUAUGAAAUUUUUUUGUUGUUAGUUUUUGAGAUGAUAAAUGAGAAUUCGAAUGUCUGAUAUAUAUAUAUAUUUCUGUAUUCUGUGCUCCAAUCGUUGCGCUUAUUGUAUUUAUUCUCUCAGUUUGUUCGAUUGUUGACACAUAUGUUUUUUUGGCUUUUACUAGAUAGAAUAACAUUAUUUCUACUGGCCUUAUUGCAGUUUGCAGGUAGUGGUGGAGAAUAUUUUCAUUAUGAGUUGGGCUUCUCAUUAGUUCGUGGUAGCAGUACUAUCUAGAGGUUUUUCCUGCGAUGGUUUCUGAGGGAAAAAUCUACUUUCAUAUGAUUUGAUUUUUUGUUUUUCUUGUACAGUGUUGAACUUCGAUGUCGAUGUUGAUUUGUUUUACACAAACUCUGGAGUGAACUAGGAUUGUUUGUUGUAUAUUUUGUAUGGAUUGAUUGAUAUCUGGUUGUUUUGAAUUUUAGUUCUUAUUCUUAUUUUUAUUGAAAUUUGUGGGCGU
RNAcentral lists this long non-coding RNA (2506 nucleotides) under Olea europaea subsp. europaea. Lineage: Eukaryota; Viridiplantae; Streptophyta; Magnoliopsida; Lamiales; Oleaceae. The record is from RNAcentral.